CCUCCACCUUAUAGAGUUGAAGUUUGGCCUCCUCCACCUAAUACUGAAGCUGCUGGAAAUCGUGAAAGGGCUACUUGGAUUGUACAUGUGAUUCUCCAUGGCAUUGAAGAGUAUAUUGUUCUUAAUUUGAAUGAUCUCAGUUCAAUAGUGCAAUCUAUGUUGGUAUUCAGAGAAUGGAUGUAGUUGGUUCUCAACCAAAUGUUACGGUCACACCAACUCAGGGACAGGUAAGCUUCGUAGGGUUGAACCUCAUUGCCUAAUAAAGGUGAUUUGCAGCAUUAACUGCAUAUUGGCUUCCCCUAAGAUCAAGAAGAAGUUAGUUUCAAAAAAACAAGGAAAUGUCAAUGUAUACCGUUUAGUUUCCCGCAAAUAGUGAAUUUUGGUGAUUGUGUAGAGGUGUGGACCAGGCAUCAUUGAUUAAUUUUUCCA
Molecule: long non-coding RNA, 429 nt
Organism: Cicer arietinum (chickpea)
Lineage: Eukaryota; Viridiplantae; Streptophyta; Magnoliopsida; Fabales; Fabaceae
Source: RefSeq, a predicted model, not a curated record